UGGGGAAUAUUGGACAAUGGGCGCAAGCCUGAUCCAGCCAUGCCGCGUGAGUGAUGAAGGCCCUAGGGUUGUAAAGCUCUUUCACCGGUGAAGAUAAUGACGGUAACCGGAGAAGAAGCCCCGGCUAACUUCGUGCCAGCAGCCGCGGUAAUACGAAGGGGGCUAGCGUUGUUCGGAUUUACUGGGCGUAAAGCGCACGUAGGCGGACUUUUAAGUCAGGGGUGAAAUCCCGGGGCUCAACCCCGGAACUGCCUUUGAUACUGGAAGUCUUGAGUAUGGUAGAGGUGAGUGGAAUUCCGAGUGUAGAGGUGAAAUUCGUAGAUAUUCGGAGGAACACCAGUGGCGAAGGCGGCUCACUGGACCAUUACUGACGCUGAGGUGCGAAAGCGGGGGGAGCAAACAGG
This 404-nucleotide ribosomal RNA is filed under the name Actinomycetes bacterium. RNAcentral describes it as "Actinobacteria bacterium partial 16S ribosomal RNA". It matches the Rfam family "Bacterial small subunit ribosomal RNA", at positions 355 to 776 of the family's 1533-position model. Lineage: Bacteria; Bacillati; Actinomycetota; Actinomycetes. RNAcentral also lists the same sequence under 1 other name. The record is from RNAcentral.